AAUCGAUUUUCACUACGCCAUGCCGUUAGAAGUGAAGCUACGUAUCGCCAUGAACGAGAACGCAAGGGGGGGGGGGGAAUAGAAUGCAUAAGAAUCCAUAAGAAAACCAAAAGAUGAAGUAUGUGAUGUCUUUCCUCCAGAAUAUCAAGCAAGAGAUCAUCAUCCGCGGUUAUUCAGUUUAUCGAUAGUGAAGAAAGCCGCAAACAACUUAACCAAGAAACAAAACACGCAUGAGAGAGAAGGCACAGACUUUGUCAUAAAACAAUUU
Long non-coding RNA from Bombus terrestris (buff-tailed bumblebee), 268 nucleotides. RefSeq lists it as uncharacterized. NCBI's taxonomy places the organism in Eukaryota, Metazoa, Arthropoda, Insecta, Hymenoptera, Apidae. The record is from RefSeq and is a predicted model, not a curated record. The transcript is spliced from 2 exons.